AACGAACGCUGGCGGCGUGCCUAACACAUGCAAGUCGUGCGAGAAAGUGGGGGCAACUCCACGAGUAAAGCGGCGCACGGGUGAGUAACACGUGGGUAACCUGCCUUCGAGAUCGGGAUAACCUUCCGAAAGGAGGGCUAAUACCGGAUAAGACCACGGAGCGCCGGCUCCGGGGUUAAAGGUGGCCUCUGCUUGCAAGCUACCACUCGGAGAUGGGCCCGCGCACCAUUAGCUAGUUGGCGAGGUAACGGCUCACCAAGGCGAAGAUGGUUAGCUG
RNAcentral lists this ribosomal RNA (277 nucleotides) under uncultured bacterium. RNAcentral describes it as "partial 16S ribosomal RNA". It matches the Rfam family "Bacterial small subunit ribosomal RNA", at positions 29 to 289 of the family's 1533-position model. The record is from RNAcentral.